UUAUUAAUGUUCAGAAGCAUUAACAGUAAACGAAGCUGAGUCAACAUGAGCUGUUUCUUUUUUCUACACUGGGGCACAUAUAGUAGCUGGAAGGUUCUUGCAAUUUGAUGAUGCCUCUAUAUUUGUGAAAAGGGAGUUAAAGUAGGUUGGCUCUCCUAAAUUUAUGUCCGAGGGAAAUUCAGUGGCUUUAUAUCACUCUAUCCCUUCAACUCCUAUUAAACAGAUAUCUCUAACUCUUAUCAACGGUUCAAGAUAGGAAUAAGAACAAAUAUAUAUAUAUAUAUAUUUUCCCCUUCAACAGAAGCAGUUGCGAAUCGUUGAAAAUACUGUAACGUGUAAAAACUCAACCUGCUUUGAAAGAGACUUAAUUGGGAUGGAAAUGGAAGUUUUCCGUACUAUCCAAGAUUGAAAAAUUCAUCAUUGAAGAAGAAAACGCAGAUUGGUCCUAUCAACGGAAAAUAAGAAUACAGCAGGUUGAAUUUGAUGCAACACACGGAUUUAUCGAAUAUAAUAGAAGCUACUGUUCAAACACUUGCAGUGAAGCCUCUUUAGUUGAAAACCAAGCGAAGACGUUUGGAAAAAACAUACCUUGAUGAGCCAGUGUCACUUAUCAAACAUCAAAGGAUAUAACUCUCUUCGGACGAAAAAUAAUUGAUGUAGGGUAUUUUUUCAACAGAAUUCGACAAAAAUACAAUCACGGUCCCUUUCCUUACCAAAUAUAAUUGUCGUAUUUGAUAUAUGAAAAGGAUUACGAACUGGUAUUAUUUUUUCACAGAAAUUGUUUGGUGGGAAAAUCCAGAUUCUCUCAAAAUGUCAUAAAUGCUGCUUCUGUUUUGGAUAUCAUAGUUAUGGGCGAAAGAUAUUCUCUCAGCUUCAGAUAUUCCGUCCGUGUCAUCACAUGCUUUCCAAAAGGAGCAUGGCCGUAUUUCGGCAAUUUGGGAAGAAACCGUUACAAAUGAAAUGCCCGAUACAUCAGUGGAAGAGAAACAUCUGGCAAUAGAAGCAAAUGAAAUAUAUUCGCAUGGGAUACCUCUUCUGACUGCAGUUGCAGAAGGUUGCUGAGCAACAAGAUCACAUAGGAGAAAUUAUUUAUUUCUAUCCGCAGCGGCGGCAAUCGUAAGGUUUCCAACAAAGAAAAUUCUGCACCUGGGGAUUAUCCGGUGCUGAAGCUGCAAGGUUAGAAAGGGCGACUACUGAACAAAAAAGUAGAUCCCUGUGAAGAGAGGGACCUCGGAAGCGACUAGCAGCUGCAAUGUUAACAAAGGGCAACUACUGAACAAAAAUGCAGGGCGCUGUGAGGAAAGGAACCUCAGAAACGACCGACAGCUUCAAAUUUUGAAGUAGUUAUGGUGCAAAAAGGAAUCCACCAGCUACGAAAAUAUUGUUAAAAAUAAAUUAUGCACUUUCUUU
Argiope bruennichi is the source of this 1410-nucleotide long non-coding RNA. RefSeq lists it as uncharacterized. Lineage: Eukaryota; Metazoa; Arthropoda; Arachnida; Araneae; Araneidae. The record is from RefSeq and is a predicted model, not a curated record. The transcript has 5 exons.